UACGGGGGGAGCAAGCGUUGUUCGGAUUUACUGGGCGUAAAGGGCGCGUAGGCGGUCAGCACAAGUCAGUUGUGAAAUCUCCGGGCUUAACCCGGAAAGGUCAACUGAUACUGUGCGACUAGAGUGCGGAAGGGGCAACUGGAAUUCUCGGUGUAGCGGUGAAAUGCGUAGAUAUCGAGAGGAACACCUGCGGCGAAGGCGGUUCUCUGGGCAUGUCCUGACGCUGGGGAGCGAAAGUGUGGGGAGCGAACAGG
This 254-nucleotide ribosomal RNA is filed under the name uncultured bacterium. RNAcentral describes it as "partial 16S ribosomal RNA". It matches the Rfam family "Bacterial small subunit ribosomal RNA", at positions 524 to 776 of the family's 1533-position model. The record is from RNAcentral.